RNAcentral lists this long non-coding RNA (419 nucleotides) under Triticum aestivum (bread wheat). Its description in RNAcentral is "long non-coding RNA (TAES_LNC018662)". The record is from RNAcentral. Lineage: Eukaryota; Viridiplantae; Streptophyta; Magnoliopsida; Poales; Poaceae.
AAUAACAAGGUGAACUUUCUUUUGUGGACUUUAUCUCUGGCACAAUACGCGGGGACUCAGGUGACAAUGAGUAGGUGUAUUUCGUCCAGACUCGUGUUCUUCUUGUUCAUGUCGUGUUCCUACCAUGUUAGUAUGUGACCCUCAACCUGUUCGAUAUGGUGAGUUGCAAGAUAGCGGGAGGAUGCCGGUGGCAGCGGAAAGAGCAGGCCGGUGAGGAGGGAAAGCAACACGGGAAUGUAUAUAUUUCUUCACAUGAACUUCACUAUUUUGCAACAUGUAUUCCAUUUUCACGGAUUAUUCUUUUGUACUUUUGUUUUUAUCUAAUCCAUUCCAACCUUUUAACUGAUGAUGUUUGAUUCACUACUAUUUUGGUUGAUGAUAGAUUAAGAAGGAUAUGAUUAUGAAGCUUGUGCUUCUUC